RNAcentral lists this ribosomal RNA (1461 nucleotides) under Pectobacterium brasiliense. RNAcentral's name for it is "bacterial SSU rRNA". It matches the Rfam family "Bacterial small subunit ribosomal RNA". The record is from RNAcentral. Lineage: Bacteria; Pseudomonadati; Pseudomonadota; Gammaproteobacteria; Enterobacterales; Pectobacteriaceae.
UUUGCGUUUUGGGGACCGAAAUAAGGUGGAAUUCGAGCGGUAGCACAGAGGAGCUUGCUCUUUGGGUGACGAGCGGCGGACGGGUGAGUAAUGUCUGGGAAACUGCCUGAUGGAGGGGGAUAACUACUGGAAACGGUAGCUAAUACCGCAUAACCUCGCAAGAGCAAAGAGGGGGACCUUCGGGCCUCUCGCCAUCAGAUGUGCCCAGAUGGGAUUAGCUAGUAGGUGAGGUAAUGGCUCACCUAGGCGACGAUCCCUAGCUGGUCUGAGAGGAUGACCAGCCACACUGGAACUGAGACACGGUCCAGACUCCUACGGGAGGCAGCAGUGGGGAAUAUUGCACAAUGGGCGCAAGCCUGAUGCAGCCAUGCCGCGUGUGUGAAGAAGGCCUUCGGGUUGUAAAGCACUUUCAGCGGGGAGGAAGGCGGUAAGGUUAAUAACCUUGUCGAUUGACGUUACCCGCAGAAGAAGCACCGGCUAACUCCGUGCCAGCAGCCGCGGUAAUACGGAGGGUGCAAGCGUUAAUCGGAAUGACUGGGCGUAAAGCGCACGCAGGCGGUCUGUUAAGUUGGAUGUGAAAUCCCCGGGCUUAACCUGGGAACUGCAUUCAAAACUGACAGGCUAGAGUCUUGUAGAGGGGGGUAGAAUUCCAGGUGUAGCGGUGAAAUGCGUAGAGAUCUGGAGGAAUACCGGUGGCGAAGGCGGCCCCCUGGACAAAGACUGACGCUCAGGUGCGAAAGCGUGGGGAGCAAACAGGAUUAGAUACCCUGGUAGUCCACGCUGUAAACGAUGUCGAUUUGGAGGUUGUGCCCUUGAGGCGUGGCUUCCGGAGCUAACGCGUUAAAUCGACCGCCUGGGGAGUACGGCCGCAAGGUUAAAACUCAAAUGAAUUGACGGGGGCCCGCACAAGCGGUGGAGCAUGUGGUUUAAUUCGAUGCAACGCGAAGAACCUUACCUACUCUUGACAUCCAGAGAACUUAGCAGAGAUGCUUUGGUGCCUUCGGGAACUCUGAGACAGGUGCUGCAUGGCUGUCGUCAGCUCGUGUUGUGAAAUGUUGGGUUAAGUCCCGCAACGAGCGCAACCCUUAUCCUUUGUUGCCAGCGAUUCGGUCGGGAACUCAAAGGAGACUGCCGGUGAUAAACCGGAGGAAGGUGGGGAUGACGUCAAGUCAUCAUGGCCCUUACGAGUAGGGCUACACACGUGCUACAAUGGCGUAUACAAAGAGAAGCGACCUCGCGAGAGCAAGCGGACCUCAUAAAGUACGUCGUAGUCCGGAUUGGAGUCUGCAACUCGACUCCAUGAAGUCGGAAUCGCUAGUAAUCGUAGAUCAGAAUGCUACGGUGAAUACGUUCCCGGGCCUUGUACACACCGCCCGUCACACCAUGGGAGUGGGUUGCAAAAGAAGUAGGUAGCUUAACCUUCGGGAGGGCGCCUUACUCCGUUCCGGGUCGCUGGUGUAC